GGUAAAGAUUAACUCCUAGCCUUAACAUCUAAGUCAACAAGCUUUAUCCAAAGGAUAUGAUGUUCUGGCCGUGACUAACUAAGUCACCAGGGUGCACGGUAGAAAUGCCCGCAUCUCCCGAAUUUGGAAAGGUGUUAUUAUGCAACAACU
Non-coding RNA from Proteus mirabilis, 150 nucleotides. The record is from Rfam. Lineage: Bacteria; Pseudomonadati; Pseudomonadota; Gammaproteobacteria; Enterobacterales; Morganellaceae.